UGAAACCUGAAAUUAGUGAUUUGCCAAAGGAAAUGAUGAGCUGUGAUCCCAGAUUUCAUCUCAAGUAUAAAGUAAUGAAGUGAGAAGAUUGAUGUUGAAAGGGACCUUGGAGGGCAUUUUAAUAUCUACCUUUUGAAAUGAAAAACAAAAUAAAACAAGAGAUUCUAUAAUAAUUCAAUGCCAACUGAAUGCAAUACACUCUUUCAGAUGUUGCAAAGAAAGCUGUACAUUGAGAUCAUCUGGAAAACUUUAAAACCUGCUGAUAUUUGAGCUCUACCCCAAGAAAUUCUGAUGUAAUGUGGAUGAAAACCUGGGCAUUGGGUCUCAUAAUAUCUCCUCCGGGUGAUUAUAAUGAGCAGCAGACUUGGCAUCCACUGGUGGGAUGCGUCUGAAUACAACAGUACCAUUUAUCUCCAGGGCAUACGUUCCAACAUCUCCAGUGAAAGCCUGAAACCAGUUCCAAACCUGACUGGCAUCAUUUGGAACACGUUUCUGUUCGUCUCUCCCAUACAGAAAUUUAAUGCCUUUUCCAUCCUAAUUAAGCGCUUAUCAUGUACUGCGGCUGUAACUUGUGCAGUUUGAAGGGCCACAGCAAAACUAGCAGGAAUUUUUUUCUUCUUUCAUGGAUCGAACGUUCUUUCUUACCAUAGAUCUUAGCAAACUCGGCAUAUGAUUUUUUUUCUUUCUCUAUUAAGUUGAAAACUUUCACCUUUUCACUUAAAGGAAACACUUUACGGCUUCUCUUUGGAAAACCCGAAUUGCCAGCAUCACUACUCUUGUGCUUUGGGGCCGUUAUGAAGUAAAAUAAGAGUUCCUUGAGCACACAGCACUUUGAUGCCCAACAGGUGAUCUGAUAACCUAGACGGUCACUAAGUGACUAAUAGUAGGUGGUGUAGACAACGUGGAGAUGCUGGACAGUGGGAAGAUUCACUCCCUUGGUGAGAUGGAGCAAAGAUGGCAUGAGAUUUCAUCGCGCUACUCAGAACUGUGUGGAAUUUCAAACUUAUCAAUUGUUUAUUUCUGGAAUUUUCCCUUCAGUGAAACCAAGGAAAGCAAUAUCACAGAUAAAGGGGAUUUCCGAAUAUAUAAACAAAAAGCAUUUACUGAAUACAAGAAUAAACUAUUUCUGCUCCUCUCUGGCUUAAAACUAUUCUGAGAGUUCCCCUUAAGAGGAUAGCACCUGUUAAAUGGAAAAGUGAUUAGCUAUUAUAAGUUUAGAAAAAACACAACAAACUACCAUAGAAUCUUUAUUCAUAAAAAUCCUUAAAACGAGAAUGAAAUAAUCACUUUCAUUCAUUUCAUACUAGCGUGUAUUGUGCCCAGUCUUUUUAAAUACGGUGUCAUCCAGGCAAAGCUGAAUGAGACAUGAAGCCUACCCUCUCUUCCUGUUCCAGAAAGCUCCUGGUUAGAAUUUUACUAAAGGAACUCCCCUUAACGUACUCUUCCUGUAAAAUUUUCUUUCUUUCUCCCUCAUCACCUUCAUUAGUUGUCUCUUUAUUUGUAUUUUGUUUGAAUGCUUGCUGGUCUUAAUUGUUGAAUAUAAUGUUUCAUUUAUUAUAAACUGCCUCA
Molecule: long non-coding RNA, 1569 nt
Filed under: Homo sapiens (human)
Lineage: Eukaryota; Metazoa; Chordata; Mammalia; Primates; Hominidae
Description: HSALNT0339376
Source: RNAcentral